GUUUUAAUAAUUUAAAUAAAAUGUUGGUCUUGUAAACCAAAAAUAAGUCCACCUUUUAAAACU
Molecule: transfer RNA, 63 nt
Filed under: Dorcus tityus
Lineage: Eukaryota; Metazoa; Arthropoda; Insecta; Coleoptera; Lucanidae
Description: tRNA-Thr
Rfam family: tRNA
About the family: Transfer RNA (tRNA) molecules are approximately 80 nucleotides in length.
Source: RNAcentral